CCCCCAAAAAAAACAAGGGUAGGGAAGAUUCAGAGAAGCUGCACAGUAAAACUGUACUCCCAGAGGAAAUGAAACAUCAACAACCCACCCAGACCCAGGAAUCCAAAUAGUUUUGAAGCGGCAAGUGCCUUCGCUACUUCCCCUGAAAAUACUGAUCUGGAUGAAAAGUUAAGAAACAUGUAAAGAAAAAUCCCCGCGACAACUUUUCUUUCGAGUUUUUCGGAACCUCUGCUAGCAGGAAGUAAUAUUCUUGCGGACUGUGCUCUUUCACAUUCGACAUUACAGAAAAGUAGAGCACUUAGCCCAAGGUUUAUCACGUUGGUAAUUAUAAUAAGAAAAGCAGGUGCCGUGAAUGAAUUCCAAUGCUGACUUUCAGAAUUGCGUACAAGGAGGAGAGGUAAGAAAGGUGCUAUGCCCAAGGAAGCAUACUGAGCGGCGCCAUUCAAAGCUAGGUAACGGGUUCUUUGCUUUAGUGUUGUAAUUUUAGAGGUGUGAGAGCGAGCUAUGCUAAGGACACCGGCCGCAAUGCCGUGAGUAAGGCGAGAAAAUAUAAGCAACCACGGGUUUGGAAAAGAAUAAGCUAAAAGAUAAAGAGCAGAGCCUAAAAUAGCUAGCAAACUGGAAUGGAACCAAGCAUUCUACCGAUACUGAAUGAGGAGAUGGUAGCUCCAUUAAGAAAUUGUCUAGAAAAAUUUCCUUUCAC
Molecule: long non-coding RNA, 703 nt
Organism: Zophobas morio
Lineage: Eukaryota; Metazoa; Arthropoda; Insecta; Coleoptera; Tenebrionidae
Exons: 4
Source: RefSeq, a predicted model, not a curated record